UCUAUCGAAUCUCUCCAUACUUACAUCUCUAUCUAUAUCUAUAUGUUUCUUCCCCCAAUUUUCGGAGGAGGAGGACAAUUUACAAGAUAAUACUACUAAUCUGAAGGAAAAAAAACCCACUUCAAAAUUGUCUUAUUGGGAGGGUUUUUUAAAGGGGGAUUAGGAUUUAAGCAAGAGAUGUGGGAUGCUUGGUGGGUUAAUGAAUCUCCUCUCGCUCUGUUUGAAG
RNAcentral lists this long non-coding RNA (226 nucleotides) under Panax ginseng (ginseng). RNAcentral's name for it is "long non-coding RNA (PGIN_LNC001071)". Lineage: Eukaryota; Viridiplantae; Streptophyta; Magnoliopsida; Apiales; Araliaceae. The record is from RNAcentral.